Molecule: ribosomal RNA, 328 nt
Filed under: uncultured eukaryote
Lineage: Eukaryota
Description: partial 18S ribosomal RNA
Rfam family: Eukaryotic small subunit ribosomal RNA
Source: RNAcentral
CCCUUAGAUGUCCUGGGCCGCACGCGCGUUACACUGAUGCAUUCAACGAGCUUAUAACCUUGGCCGAGAGGCCUGGGCAAUCUUGUUAACGUGCAUCGUGAUAGGGAUAGAUUAUUGAAAUUAUUAAUCUUGAACGAGGAAUUCCUAGUAAACGCAGAUCAUCAAUCUGCACUGAUUACGUCCCUGCCCUUUGUACACACCGCCCGUCGCACCUACCGAUUGGAUGGUCCGGUGAAGCCUCGGGAUUGUGGUUCUUGCCGCUUUAUUGUGGCGUGACCGCGAGAACUUGUCUAAACCUUAUCAUCUAGAGGAAGGUGAAGUCGUAACA